This 251-nucleotide ribosomal RNA is filed under the name uncultured prokaryote. RNAcentral describes it as "partial 16S rRNA". It matches the Rfam family "Bacterial small subunit ribosomal RNA", at positions 525 to 775 of the family's 1533-position model. The record is from RNAcentral.
AUGGAGGGUGCAAGCGUUGUUCGGAAUUAUUGGGCGUAAAGGGCGCGUAGGCGGUUGUGUAAGUCAGAUGUGAAAUACUUCAGCUUAACUGAAGAACUGCAUUUGAUACUGCAUAACUAGAGUACAGGAAAGGGAAAUGGAAUUCCCGGUGUAGAAGUGAAAUUCGUAGAUAUCGGGAGGAGCACCAGUGGCGAAGGCGAUUUCCAGGCCUGAUACCGACGCUGAUGCGCGUAAGCUUGGUGAGCAAACAG